UAGGCACAGUGCUAGGCCCUGAUGUUGCCC
Molecule: non-coding RNA, 30 nt
Filed under: Rattus norvegicus (Norway rat)
Lineage: Eukaryota; Metazoa; Chordata; Mammalia; Rodentia; Muridae
Source: RNAcentral